RNAcentral lists this ribosomal RNA (405 nucleotides) under uncultured bacterium. Its description in RNAcentral is "bacterial SSU rRNA". It matches the Rfam family "Bacterial small subunit ribosomal RNA", at positions 355 to 776 of the family's 1533-position model. The record is from RNAcentral.
UAAGGAAUCUUUCACAAUGGGCGAAAGCCUGAUGGAGCAACGCCGCGUGCAGGAUGAAGGCCUUCGGGUCGUAAACUGCUUUUAUUUGGGAAGAUUAUGACGGUACCAAAUGAAUAAGGGCCGGCUAACUACGUGCCAGCAGCCGCGGUAAUACGUAGGGCCCAAGCGCUAUCCGGAAUCACUGGGCGUAAAGCGUGCGUAGGCGGAUGCUUAAGUGAGAUGCGAAAUUCUGUGGCUCAACCAUAUGAACUGUAUCUCAUACUGGGUGUCUUGAGGACGGCAGAGGCAAGUGGAAUUACCGGUGUAGGAGUGAAAUCCGUAGAGAUCGGUAGGAACACCAAUGGCGAAGGCAGCUUGCUGGGCCGUUUCUGACGCUAAGGCACGAAAGCGUGGGGAGCGAACAGG